Molecule: non-coding RNA, 39 nt
Filed under: unclassified sequences
Description: L31-Actinobacteria ribosomal protein leader
Rfam family: L31-Actinobacteria ribosomal protein leader
Source: RNAcentral
CCGGCUCCGGUUCACGUCGCGCGCGGCGACCCGGCGGCC